UACGGAGGGUGCAAGCAUUAAUCGGAAUUAUUGGGCGUAAAGGGCGCGUAGGCGGAUUUCCAAGUCAGAUGUGAAAUUCCGAAGCUCAACUUCGGAGCUGCAUUUGAAACUGGAGACCUAGAGGGAUGGCGGAGAAAACGGAAUUCCACGUGUAGCGGUGAAAUGCGUAGAUAUGUGGAGGAACACCUGUGGCGAAAGCGGUUUUCUAGCUUAUACCUGACGCUGAGGCGCGAGAGCAAGGGGAGCAAACAGG
Molecule: ribosomal RNA, 253 nt
Filed under: uncultured prokaryote
Description: partial 16S ribosomal RNA
Rfam family: Bacterial small subunit ribosomal RNA
Source: RNAcentral